This 425-nucleotide ribosomal RNA is filed under the name uncultured bacterium. Its description in RNAcentral is "partial 16S ribosomal RNA". It matches the Rfam family "Bacterial small subunit ribosomal RNA", at positions 354 to 796 of the family's 1533-position model. The record is from RNAcentral.
GUGGGGAAUAUUGCACAAUGGGGGAAACCCUGAUGCAGCGACGCCGCGUGAGUGAAGAAGUAUUUCGGUACGUAAAGCUCUAUCAGCAAGGAAGAAAAUGACGGUACUUGACUAAGAAGCCCCGGCUAACUACGUGCCAGCAGCCGCGGUAAUACGUAGGGGGCAAGCGUUAUCCGGAUUUACUGGGUGUAAAGGGAGCGUAGACGGUAUGGUAAGUCAGAUGUGAAAGCACGGGGCUCAACCCCGGGACUGCAUUUGAAACUAUCAGACUAGAGUGCAGGAGAGGUAAGUGGAAUUCCUAGUGUAGCGGUGAAAUGCGUAGAUAUUAGGAGGAACACCAGUGGCGAAGGCGGCUUACUGGACUGUAACUGACGUUGAGGCUCGAAAGCGUGGGGAGCAAACGGGAUUAGAUACCCCAGUAGUCC